AACGCACAUUGCGCCCGCCAGUAUUCUGGCGGGCAUGCCUGUCCGAGCGUCAUUUCAACCCUCAGGGCCCGUCCGCGGGACCUGGCGUUGGGGAUCGGCCCCCUCACGGAGGCCGGCCCCGAAAUACAGUGGCGGCUCCCCGCGAACACCUCUGCGUAGUAACCAUGCGCCGCAGCUGGGACUAGCGGUGGCGCCUCGCCGUAAAACCCCCAACUUCUCAAGGUUGACCUCGGAUCAGGUAGGAAUACCCGCUGAACUUAA
Molecule: unclassified non-coding RNA, 261 nt
Filed under: uncultured fungus
Lineage: Eukaryota; Fungi
Description: partial contains 5.8S ribosomal RNA, internal transcribed spacer 2, and large subunit ribosomal RNA
Rfam family: 5.8S ribosomal RNA (bases 1-52)
Source: RNAcentral